GAUCCAAUGGCACAGUUGGUUAAUGCACCUGCUUAGAUUCCAUUGGCAAGUCCUUCAUAAGUAGGAGGCCCUCGCUCGAACCGGGGUUGGAUCA
Mycena leptocephala is the source of this 94-nucleotide non-coding RNA. Lineage: Eukaryota; Fungi; Basidiomycota; Agaricomycetes; Agaricales; Mycenaceae. The record is from the annotation of a GenBank genome assembly.